GUAGGGAAUAUUGGACAAUGGGGGCAACCCUGAUCCAGCCAUGCCGCGUGAGUGAAGAAGGCCCUCGGGUUGUAAAGCUCUUUUGUCCGGAAAGAAAAGCUUCGGGUUAAUACCCCGGGGUUCUGACGGUACCGGAAGAAUAAGCACCGGCUAACUUCGUGCCAGCAGCCGCGGUAAUACGAAGGGUGCAAGCGUUACUCGGAAUUACUGGGCGUAAAGCGUGCGUAGGUGGUUGUUUAAGUCUGAUGUGAAAGCCCUGGGCUCAACCUGGGAAUGGCAUUGGAAACUGGGCAGCUAGAGUGCGGUAGAGGGUAGUGGAAUUCCCGGUGUAGCAGUGAAAUGCGUAGAGAUCGGGAGGAACAUCUGUGGCGAAGGCGACUGCCUGGACCAGCACUGACACUGAGGCACGAAAGCGUGGGGAGCAAACA
Molecule: ribosomal RNA, 428 nt
Filed under: uncultured bacterium
Lineage: Bacteria
Description: bacterial SSU rRNA
Rfam family: Bacterial small subunit ribosomal RNA
Source: RNAcentral